UACGUAGGGUGCAGGCGUUAAUCGGAAUUACUGGGCGUAAAGCGUGCGCAGGCGGUCUAGUAAGACAGGUGUGAAAUCCCCGGGCUUAGCCUGGGAACUGCGCUUGUAACUGAUAGGCUUGAGUGUGGCAGAGGGGGGUGGAAUUCCAGGUGUAGCAGCGAAAUGCGUAGAUAUCUGGAGGAACACCGAUGGCGAAGGCAGCCCCCUGGGCUAACACUGACGCUCAUGCACGAAAGCGUGGGGAGCAAACAGG
This 253-nucleotide ribosomal RNA is filed under the name uncultured bacterium. Its description in RNAcentral is "partial 16S ribosomal RNA". It matches the Rfam family "Bacterial small subunit ribosomal RNA", at positions 524 to 776 of the family's 1533-position model. The record is from RNAcentral.